Molecule: ribosomal RNA, 239 nt
Filed under: uncultured bacterium
Lineage: Bacteria
Description: partial 16S ribosomal RNA
Rfam family: Bacterial small subunit ribosomal RNA
Source: RNAcentral
AGUAACACGUGGAUAAUCUACCCGACAAUCAGGGAUAACAUUUCGAAAGAAAUGCUAAUACCUGAUAAGCCUACGCCCUCCUCGGAGGAAAUAGGAAAAGGUGGGGACCUUCGGGCCUGCCGUUGUCGGAUGAGUCCGCGGCCCAUUAGCUAGUUGGUAGGGUAAUGGCCUACCAAGGCUACGGUGGGUAGCUGGUCUGAGAGGAUGAUCAGCCACACUGGAACUGAGACACGGUCCAG